Ricinus communis (castor bean) is the source of this 386-nucleotide long non-coding RNA. RefSeq lists it as uncharacterized. Lineage: Eukaryota; Viridiplantae; Streptophyta; Magnoliopsida; Malpighiales; Euphorbiaceae. The transcript is spliced from 2 exons. The record is from RefSeq and is a predicted model, not a curated record.
AGGAACCUGUUAAAAAGGAAGUAGUCUUGUUCAGAAAUGUGAACAGGAAAUCCCGAUGGAAUUCUAAUCAAUAGAUAUCUCACCAUCAGAUCGAUCUUGAACUUCUCGAUGCAGUGGCCCUCUACCUCGGAUAGAUUUGAAGUCCUGAUAAAUACAAGAAGAAGAUCGCAUUAAGGAGGGAGAAUCAACUAUCCAAAGAAGGAAAAGAUUUUUCUUUGGUAGCAACACCAGUAUCUUCGAUCGCCAAUUUUGAAUUUACAGGAGACUCCGGUGAUUUAGUACUAGUCAUAUCACACUGUUGGGCGUUGUUCUCCAAUUUACCGGAAAGCAGUUGCAUUUUUUCUUGGCUUUCAUCUUUAACUGAAGAGUCUUGUAUUUGAAUUGAA